RNAcentral lists this ribosomal RNA (482 nucleotides) under uncultured bacterium. RNAcentral's name for it is "partial 16S ribosomal RNA". It matches the Rfam family "Bacterial small subunit ribosomal RNA", at positions 28 to 523 of the family's 1533-position model. The record is from RNAcentral.
GACGAACGCUGGCGGCGUGCUUAACACAUGCAAGUCGAACGAUGAAACCUAGCUUGCUAGGUCGAUUAGUGGCGAACGGGUGAGUAACACGUGACUAACCUGCCCCUUUCUCUGGGAUAACGCUCCGAAAGGAGUGCUAAUACCGGAUACUCACAUCGAGGCACAUGCCUUGAUGUGGAAAGUUUUUCGGAAAGGGAUGGAGUCGCGGCCUAUCAGCUUGUUGGUGAGGUAACGGCUCACCAAGGCGACGACGGGUAGCCGGCCUGAGAGGGCGACCGGCCACACGGGGAAUGGGACACGGCCCAGACUCCUACGGGAGGCAGCGGUGGGGAAUAUUGCACAAUGGGCGCAAGCCUGAUGCAGCGACGCCGCGUGAGGGAUGAAGGUCUUCGGAUUGUAAACCUCUUUCAGUAGGGACGAAGCGAAAGUGACGGUACCUAAAGAAGAAGCACCGGCUAACUACGUGCCAGCCGCCGCGGUAA